This 1553-nucleotide ribosomal RNA is filed under the name Escherichia coli O104:H4 str. LB226692. Its description in RNAcentral is "bacterial SSU rRNA". It matches the Rfam family "Bacterial small subunit ribosomal RNA". Lineage: Bacteria; Pseudomonadati; Pseudomonadota; Gammaproteobacteria; Enterobacterales; Enterobacteriaceae. The record is from RNAcentral.
AAAUUGAAGAGUUUGAUCAUGGCUCAGAUUGAACGCUGGCGGCAGGCCUAACACAUGCAAGUCGAACGGUAACAGGAAACAGCUUGCUGUUUCGCUGACGAGUGGCGGACGGGUGAGUAAUGUCUGGGAAACUGCCUGAUGGAGGGGGAUAACUACUGGAAACGGUAGCUAAUACCGCAUAACGUCGCAAGACCAAAGAGGGGGACCUUCGGGCCUCUUGCCAUCGGAUGUGCCCAGAUGGGAUUAGCUUGUUGGUGGGGUAACGGCUCACCAAGGCGACGAUCCCUAGCUGGUCUGAGAGGAUGACCAGCCACACUGGAACUGAGACACGGUCCAGACUCCUACGGGAGGCAGCAGUGGGGAAUAUUGCACAAUGGGCGCAAGCCUGAUGCAGCCAUGCCGCGUGUAUGAAGAAGGCCUUCGGGUUGUAAAGUACUUUCAGCGGGGAGGAAGGGAGUAAAGUUAAUACCUUUACUCAUUGACGUUACCCGCAGAAGAAGCACCGGCUAACUCCGUGCCAGCAGCCGCGGUAAUACGGAGGGUGCAAGCGUUAAUCGGAAUUACUGGGCGUAAAGCGCACGCAGGCGGUUUGUUAAGUCAGAUGUGAAAUCCCCGGGCUCAACCUGGGAACUGCAUCUGAUACUGGCAAGCUUGAGUCUCGUAGAGGGGGUAGAAUUCCAGGUGUAGCGGUGAAAUGCGUAGAGAUCUGGAGGAAUACCGGUGGCGAAGGCGGCCCCCUGGACGAAGACUGACGCUCAGGUGCGAAAGCGUGGGGAGCAAACAGGAUUAGAUACCCUGGUAGUCCACGCCGUAAACGAUGUCGACUUGGAGGUUGUGCCCUUGAGGCGUGGCUUCCGGAGCUAACGCGUUAAGUCGACCGCCUGGGGAGUACGGCCGCAAGGUUAAAACUCAAAUGAAUUGACGGGGGCCCGCACAAGCGGUGGAGCAUGUGGUUUAAUUCGAUGCAACGCGAAGAACCUUACCUGGUCUUGACAUCCACGGAAGUUUUCAGAGAUGAGAAUGUGCCUUCGGGAACCGUGAGACAGGUGCUGCAUGGCUGUCGUCAGCUCGUGUUGUGAAAUGUUGGGUUAAGUCCCGCAACGAGCGCAACCCUUAUCCUUUGUUGCCAGCGGUCCGGCCGGGAACUCAAAGGAGACUGCCAGUGAUAAACUGGAGGAAGGUGGGGAUGACGUCAAGUCAUCAUGGCCCUUACGACCAGGGCUACACACGUGCUACAAUGGCGCAUACAAAGAGAAGCGACCUCGCGAGAGCAAGCGGACCUCAUAAAGUGCGUCGUAGUCCGGAUUGGAGUCUGCAACUCGACUCCAUGAAGUCGGAAUCGCUAGUAAUCGUGGAUCAGAAUGCCACGGUGAAUACGUUCCCGGGCCUUGUACACACCGCCCGUCACACCAUGGGAGUGGGUUGCAAAAGAAGUAGGUAGCUUAACCUUCGGGAGGGCGCUUACCACUUUGUGAUUCAUGACUGGGGUGAAGUCGUAACAAGGUAACCGUAGGGGAACCUGCGGUUGGAUCACCUCCUUACCUUAAAGAAGC